AGCUGCGUGGUGAGCACAAAGCGAACUAUUCUUUCGCCUUUUACUAAAGAAUACCGUGUGCACGUCACAAAUAGCAGCAUACGCUAAUUUUUGGAGGAUGUUUUCUCUUUUUGAGAGAGC
Molecule: small nuclear RNA, 120 nt
Organism: Sorghum bicolor (sorghum)
Lineage: Eukaryota; Viridiplantae; Streptophyta; Magnoliopsida; Poales; Poaceae
Rfam family: U5 spliceosomal RNA
About the family: U5 RNA is a component of both types of known spliceosome.
Source: Rfam